RNAcentral lists this ribosomal RNA (253 nucleotides) under uncultured bacterium. Its description in RNAcentral is "partial 16S ribosomal RNA". It matches the Rfam family "Bacterial small subunit ribosomal RNA", at positions 524 to 776 of the family's 1533-position model. The record is from RNAcentral.
UACGUAGGGUGCGAGCGUUAAUCGGAAUUACUGGGCGUAAAGCGUGCGCAGGCGGUUCGUUGUGUCGGCGGUGAAAUCCCCGGGCUCAACCUGGGAAUGGCCGUUGAAACUGGCGAACUGGAGUGUGGCAGAGGGGGGUGGAAUUCCGCGUGUAGCAGUGAAAUGCGUAGAGAUGCGGAGGAACACCGAUGGCGAAGGCAGCCCCCUGGGCUGACACUGACGCUCAGGCACGAAAGCGUGGGGAGCAAACGGG